GGGCAAGUCUGGUGCCAGCAGCCGCGGUAAUUCCAGCUCCAAUAGCGUAUAUUAAAGUUGUUGCAGUUAAAAAGCUCGUAGUUGAAUUUCGGGACUAAUAUGUCGGUCGUGCCUCGGUACGUACUGGUAUUUUUGGUCUCUCCCUUCUGACGAACCUUGAUGUCAUUAAUUUGGUGUCUUGGGAAAUCAGGACUGUUACUUUGAAAAAAUUAGAGUGUUUAAAGCAGGCUCACGCUUGAAUACAUUAGCAUGGAAUAAUGAAAUAGGACGUUUGAUUCUAUUUUGUUGGUUUCUAGGGUCGCCGUAAUGAUUAAUAGGGAUAGUUGGGGGCAUUAGUAUUCAGUUGCUAGAGGUGAAAUUCUUGGAUUUACUGAAGACUAACUACUGCGAAAGCAUUUGCCAAGGAUGUUUUCAUUAAUCAAGAACGAAGGUUAGGGGAUCGAAAACGAUCAGAUACCGUUGUAGUCUUAACAGUAAACUAUGCCGACUAGGGAUCGGACGAGCUCAUUUUUAUGUGUCGUUCGGCGCCUUACGGGAAAC
This 540-nucleotide ribosomal RNA is filed under the name uncultured Glomus. RNAcentral describes it as "SSU rRNA". It matches the Rfam family "Eukaryotic small subunit ribosomal RNA", at positions 553 to 1098 of the family's 1831-position model. The record is from RNAcentral. Lineage: Eukaryota; Fungi; Glomeromycota; Glomeromycetes; Glomerales; Glomeraceae.